RNAcentral lists this long non-coding RNA (284 nucleotides) under Pan troglodytes (chimpanzee). RNAcentral's name for it is "long non-coding RNA NONPTRT008818". Lineage: Eukaryota; Metazoa; Chordata; Mammalia; Primates; Hominidae. The record is from RNAcentral.
GGAAAAUGGCGGCCUCCUUGCUGCUUGCGUUACCAGAGUCCACCCGGCCUCGUGCUUUCUCCGGGCGCCCGUAGCUGGCGCCGGCAUCCACAAAAAUAGAUCAGAGUGGAUGUGCGUUGAAAGCAGUCUAGGAGGACAUACACUAAAAUGCUGAGUAUCUCUGGAUGGCGGCGGCGUUGAGGGCUGGAGUGCAAUGGCGCAAUCUGCAAUGGCUCACUGUGACCUCCGCCUCCCAGGUUCAAGCAAUUCUCCUGCCUCAGCCUCCCAAGUAGGUGGGAUUGCAG